CCCUUAGAUGUUCUGGGCUGCACGCGCGCUACACUGAAGCUAUCAACACGUUUUCCCUCCCUGAGAAGGGCGGGUAACCUUUUGAAUCAGCUUCGUGGUAGGGAUCGGGGCUUGCAAUUGUUCCCCGUGAACCAGGAAUUCCUAGUAGACGCGAGUCAUAAGCUCGCAUCGAUUAAGUCCCUGCCCUUUGUACACACCGCCCGUCGCUACUACCGAUUGAACGUUUUAGUGAGGCAUUUGGACCGACGCAUCUCAGUUUAACCGCUGGUUUGUGUUGGAAAGACUUCCAAACUUGAGCGUUUAGAGGAAGUGAAAGUCGUAAC
Molecule: ribosomal RNA, 323 nt
Filed under: uncultured eukaryote
Lineage: Eukaryota
Description: partial 18S ribosomal RNA
Rfam family: Eukaryotic small subunit ribosomal RNA
Source: RNAcentral